RNAcentral lists this ribosomal RNA (275 nucleotides) under uncultured Pseudomonas sp. RNAcentral's name for it is "partial 16S ribosomal RNA". It matches the Rfam family "Bacterial small subunit ribosomal RNA", at positions 338 to 605 of the family's 1533-position model. The record is from RNAcentral. Lineage: Bacteria; Pseudomonadati; Pseudomonadota; Gammaproteobacteria; Pseudomonadales; Pseudomonadaceae.
CCUACGGGGGGCUGCAGUGGGGAAUAUUGGACAAUGGGCGAAAGCCUGAUCCAGCCAUGCCGCGUGUGUGAAGAAGGUCUUCGGAUUGUAAAGCACUUUAAGUUGGGAGGAAGGGUAGUAACCUAAUACGUUGCUACUUUGACGUUACCGACAGAAUAAGCACCGGCUAACUUCGUGCCAGCAGCCGCGGUAAUACGAAGGGUGCAAGCGUUAAUCGGAAUUACUGGGCGUAAAGCGCGCGUAGGUGGUUCAGUAAGUUGGAAGUGAAAUCCCCG